UACAGUAUUGACCGGGGUAGCCUCCCCUAC
This 30-nucleotide small RNA is filed under the name Bombyx mori (domestic silkworm). RNAcentral describes it as "ovarian small RNA-5957". The record is from RNAcentral. Lineage: Eukaryota; Metazoa; Arthropoda; Insecta; Lepidoptera; Bombycidae.